AAAGUGAAUUAGCACUAAAAGGUGGUUCACCCAGGGCGAGGCUCAGUCAUUGCAYUGUCAGUUGUGCUGACUCCUGUGAAUUCCCCAAAUGCGGAAAUUUCAACUGCUUAAUUUGUUGUCUUUUUGGAAAAACAAUCAAAC
RNAcentral lists this small nuclear RNA (141 nucleotides) under Amphilophus citrinellus (Midas cichlid). RNAcentral describes it as "U1 spliceosomal RNA (ENSACIG00000011281.1)". It matches the Rfam family "U1 spliceosomal RNA", at positions 19 to 166 of the family's 166-position model. From Rfam's summary of the family: U1 is a small nuclear RNA (snRNA) component of the spliceosome (involved in pre-mRNA splicing). Its 5' end forms complementary base pairs with the 5' splice junction, thus defining the 5' donor site of an intron. There are significant differences in sequence and secondary structure between metazoan and yeast U1 snRNAs, the latter being much longer (568 nucleotides as compared to 164 nucleotides in human). Lineage: Eukaryota; Metazoa; Chordata; Actinopteri; Cichliformes; Cichlidae. The record is from RNAcentral.